CUGUUACUCCCUCCGUUCCAAAUUACUUGUCUUGAAUUUUUCUAGAUACGGAUGUAUCUAGACUCAUUUUAGUGCUAGAUACCUUCGUAUCUAGACAAAUCUAAUACAAGUAAUUCAGAAUGGAGGGAGUAUAUG
Non-coding RNA from Triticum aestivum (bread wheat), 135 nucleotides. Lineage: Eukaryota; Viridiplantae; Streptophyta; Magnoliopsida; Poales; Poaceae. The record is from Rfam.